GCCAUCCUCAGAGGAGGACUGGUGCUAGCUGGUUUUACAGAUGAGCUGAGGCCACUCAGCUGAAGCCGGACAACUGUGGAGCGGCUGGGCCAGUGUGCAAUACCAGGUCUGAGAGCUGAGCCCGAGGACCUGAGCCCUGCACCCCUGGGCUGGAGAGAGCCCACAAGCAUCACCCCUUCCAGGCAUCACUACUUCAUCUGGGGACGGGAAGACUCAGAGGACUGGGCCAGGGCCUCGGGCUGUCAGCUGGGAUGCAGCCCUGGGGUUCUAGCUGCCAGCUCCAGGGAUCAGGGCCCUAUGCUAAUGCUCUGCUGUUGCCAACUUUAAAUUCUUAGGGUUUUUUGUUUGUUUGUUUUGUUUUUUGUUUUUUUUUUGCAAGAGGACUUGCAUUUUCAUUUUGCACUGGAUCCCAGAAAUUAUGUAGCCAGUAGUCCCGGGGGCUCUGGGUGACCCGGCAUACUCUCCCUCCCGCCCUUGGCUUUCACAGAGGGGGCUGAGACCUGGCACUUGGUUCACAGCACCGCUUUUGUGCCCGGCUUCCUCCUGCCCAGUGCCAGGUGGACCCAGAAGUUUCUGCAGGAAUGGGAGGGGGGAGGAGAGCCCUGAGCUGGCGAAGCAAGGAGCAGGCUGGCAGCGGAGCCACAGCACGGAGCGAGGAGCUCUCAACAGGUGUCAGGCAGAGGUCUGGUGGCUGGUUCGGGGUCUACUGAAGGCUGUCUUGAUCAGGAAACUGAAGACUCUCUGCUUUUGCCACAGCAGUUCCUGCAGCUUCCUUGAGAUGAGGAAACUGAGGCUCAGAGAGGUCACAUGGCUUGCUCGAGGCCCCCCAGCCAGUGUGAACCCACAUCCCUGCCCCCAGGGCCACCUGCAGGACGCCGACACCUACCCCUCAGCAGACGCCGGAGAGAAAUGAGUAGCAACAAAGAGCAGCGGUCAGCAGUGUUCGUGAUCCUCUUUGCCCUCAUCACCAUCCUCAUCCUCUACAGCUCCAACAGUGCCAAUGAGGUCUUCCAUUACGGCUCCCUGCGGGGCCGUAGCCGCCGACCUGUCAACCUCAAGAAGUGGAGCAUCACUGACGGCUAUGUCCCCAUUCUCGGCAACAAGACACUGCCCUCUCGGUGCCACCAGUGUGUGAUUGUCAGCAGCUCCAGCCACCUGCUGGGCACCAAGCUGGGCCCUGAGAUCGAGCGGGCUGAGUGUACAAUCCGCAUGAAUGAUGCACCCACCACUGGCUACUCAGCUGAUGUGGGCAACAAGACCACCUACCGCGUCGUGGCCCAUUCCAGUGUGUUCCGCGUGCUGAGGAGGCCCCAGGAGUUUGUCAACCGGACCCCUGAAACCGUGUUCAUCUUCUGGGGGCCCCCGAGCAAGAUGCAGAAGCCCCAGGGCAGCCUCGUGCGUGUGAUCCAGCGAGCGGGCCUGGUGUUCCCCAACAUGGAAGCAUAUGCCGUCUCUCCCGGCCGCAUGCGGCAAUUUGACGACCUCUUCCGGGGUGAGACGGGCAAGGACAGGGAGAAGUCUCAUUCGUGGUUGAGCACAGGCUGGUUUACCAUGGUGAUCGCGGUGGAGUUGUGUGACCACGUGCAUGUCUAUGGCAUGGUCCCCCCCAACUACUGCAGCCAGCGGCCCCGCCUCCAGCGCAUGCCCUACCACUACUACGAGCCCAAGGGGCCGGACGAAUGUGUCACCUACAUCCAGAAUGAGCACAGUCGCAAGGGCAACCACCACCGCUUCAUCACCGAGAAAAGGGUCUUCUCAUCGUGGGCCCAGCUGUAUGGCAUCACCUUCUCCCACCCCUCCUGGACCUAGGCCACCCAGCCUGUGGGACCUCAGGAGGGUCAGAGGAGAAGCAGCCUCCGCCCAGCCGCUAGGCCAGGGACCAUCUUCUGGCCAAUCAAGGCUUGCUGGAGUGUCUCCCAGCCAAUCAGGGCCUUGAGGAGGAUGUAUCCUCCAGCCAAUCAGGGCCUGGGGAAUCUGUUGGCGAAUCAGGGAUUUGGGAGUCUAUGCGGUUAAUCAGGGGUGUCUUUCUUGUGCAGUCAGGGUCUGCGCACAGUCAAUCAGGGUAGAGGGGGUAUUUCUGAGUCAAUCUGAGGCUAAGGACAUGUCCUUUCCCAUGAGGCCUUGGUUCAGAGCCCCAGGAAUGGACCCCCCAAUCACUCCCCACUCUCCUGGGAUAAUGGGGUCCUGUCCCAAGGAGCUGGGAACUUGGUGUUGCCCCCUCAAUUUCCAGCACCAGAAAGAGAGAUUGUGUGGGGGUAGAAGCUGUCUGGAGGCCCGGCCAGAGAAUUUGUGGGGUUGUGGAGGUUGUGGGGGCGGUGGGGAGGUCCCAGAGGUGGGAGGCCGGCAUCCAGGUCUUGGCUCUGCCCUGAGACCUUGGACAAACCCUUCCCCCUCUCUGGGCACCCUUCUGCCCACACCAGUUUCCAGUGCGGAGUCUGAGACCCUUUCCACCUCCCCUACAAGUGCCCUCGGGUCUGUCCUCCCCGUCUGGACCCUCCCAGCCACUAUCCCUUGCUGGAAGGCUCAGCUCUUUGGGGGGUCUGGGGUGACCUCCCCACCUCCUGGAAAACUUUAGGGUAUUUUUGCGCAAACUCCUUCAGGGUUGGGGGACUCUGAAGGAAACGGGACAAAACCUUAAGCUGUUUUCUUAGCCCCUCAGCCAGCUGCCAUUAGCUUGGCUCUUAAAGGGCCAGGCCUCCUUUUCUGCCCUCUAGCAGGGAGGUUUUCCAACUGUUGGAGGCGCCUUUGGGGCUGCCCCUUUGUCUGGAGUCACUGGGGGCUUCCGAGGGUCUCCCUCGACCCUCUGUCGUCCUGGGAUGGCUGUCGGGAGCUGUAUCACCUGGGUUCUGUCCCCUGGCUCUGUAUCAGGCACUUUAUUAAAGCUGGGCCUCAGUGGGGUGUGUUUGUCUCCUGCUCUUCUGGAGCCUGGAAGGAAAGGGCUUCAGGAGGAGGCUGUGAGGCUGGAGGGACCAGAUGGAGGAGGCCAGCAGCUAGCCAUUGCACACUGGGGUGAUGGGUGGGGGCGGUGACUGCCCCAGACUUGGUUUUGUAAUGAUUUGUACAGGAAUAAACACACCUACGCUCCGG
Homo sapiens (human) is the source of this 3087-nucleotide RNA transcript. It is a transcript of the gene named ST6 N-acetylgalactosaminide alpha-2,6-sialyltransferase 6, with no coding region annotated. The transcript has 8 exons. Lineage: Eukaryota; Metazoa; Chordata; Mammalia; Primates; Hominidae. The record is from RefSeq and is marked validated.